AUAUUUUCAUGAAUUUUAGUAAAAAUUGUAGAAAUAAAAAUAUUACACUAUAAAUUGGUUGGGGAGGGAUUCGAUCCCUAGACCUUCAAUAUGAAUUGGCAACCUUCCAACCAACUAAGCCACAAGAUAAAAACGCAACACAUUCGAGUUAGCUUAUAUAAGUUCAAACUUUAUCUAUCAUCAACUCAAAAAAUAUUUGCUUCCGGCGGAUCCAGCUAGGGCGGC
Molecule: long non-coding RNA, 225 nt
Filed under: Olea europaea (common olive)
Lineage: Eukaryota; Viridiplantae; Streptophyta; Magnoliopsida; Lamiales; Oleaceae
Description: long non-coding RNA (OEUR_LNC006618)
Source: RNAcentral